GGAUAACUUACCCUUAGGACUGGGAUAACUCUGGGAAACUGGGGAUAAUACUGGAUAUUAGGCUAUGCCUGGAAUGGUUUGCCUUUGAAAUGUUUUUUUUCGCCUAAGGAUAGGUCUGCGGCUGAUUAGGUCGUUGGUGGGGUAAUGGCCCACCAAGCCGAUGAUCGGUACGGGUUGUGAGAGCAAGGGCCCGGAGAUGGAACCUGAGACAAGGUUCCAGACCCUACGGGGUGCAGCAGGCGCGAAACCUCCGCAAUGUACGAAAGUGCGACGGGGGGAUCCCAAGUGUUAUGCUUUUUUGUAUGACUUUUCAUUAGUGUAAAAAGCUUUUAGAAUAAGAGCUGGGCAAGACCGGUGCCAGCCGCCGCGGUAACACCGGCAGCUCGAGUGGUAGCUGUUUUUAUUGGGCCUAAAGCGUUCGUAGCCGGUUUGAUAAGUCUUUGGUGAAAGCUUGUAGCUUAACUAUAAGAAUUGCUGGAGAUACUAUUAGACUUGAAGUCGGGAGAGGUUAGAGGUACUACCGGGGUAGGGGUGAAAUCCUAUAAUCCUGGGAGGACCACCUGUGGCGAAGGCGUCUAACUGGAACGAUCUUGACGGUGAGUAACGAAAGCCAGGGGCGCGAACCGGAUUAGAUACCCGGGUAGUCCUGGCCGUAAACGAUGUGGACUUGGUGUUGGAAUGGCUUUGAGUUGUUCCGGUGCCGGAGGGAAGCUGUUAAGUCCACCGCCUGGGAAG
This 735-nucleotide ribosomal RNA is filed under the name uncultured archaeon. RNAcentral's name for it is "bacterial SSU rRNA". It matches the Rfam family "Archaeal small subunit ribosomal RNA", at positions 102 to 835 of the family's 1478-position model. The record is from RNAcentral.